This is an RNA transcript of Populus trichocarpa (black cottonwood), 1362 nucleotides long. It is a transcript of the gene named OVARIAN TUMOR DOMAIN-containing deubiquitinating enzyme 9, with no coding region annotated. NCBI's taxonomy places the organism in Eukaryota, Viridiplantae, Streptophyta, Magnoliopsida, Malpighiales, Salicaceae. The record is from RefSeq and is a predicted model, not a curated record. The transcript has 10 exons.
AUCACAUCAAGAAUUUACCACUGCAAGGUAGACCCAGACUUGUUGAAAUGACAUGAAUGAAGAGAAGUGAGAUCUUUCAUCUUAAUUAAUUUCAAAUCCUAUCUUUUCUAAUUCUGAUCUUCAAAGGGGAAAAAAGAAUAUGUACAAACAAAAAGGGUAUGAAAAUUUUUUAAGAGAUAGCGCAGCACACGGCGGCAUCAUCAGCUAAUUUCAACGAAGGAUGCCUAACUAAACAGACGGCAACUUUGACACGGCAACUUUCACCAAACCCAAUAUCUCUAAGAUAUUCUUUCAAAUAAGAGUCUUACUGGUAACUUUAAGAGAUUUCAUUUAUUUUGAUAGCCAAGAUGAUUGUGGAGAAUGAUGCUGCCAUUGCUCGUGCUCUCCAAGAAGAACUUUCAAGGAUUGCUGCUGCAGAAGGAUCUGGGCAUGUUCCUAAAACUAAUGGAGAAAUACCAUCGGAGGAUGAACAGAUGUCAGAUCAUCAAAGACUGCUAGAAAGGUUAAAGUUAUAUAAUCUUGUUGAAAAAGAAGUUCAAGGAGAUGGUAACUGUCAGUUUCGUUCUCUGUCAGAUCAACUCUAUGAUUCUCCUGAGCACCACAAAUUCGUGAGAGAACAAGUUAUUGAACAGCUCAAGUCUCAGCCGCAAAUGUACAGCAGCUAUGUUCCUAUGGCUUAUGACGACUAUCUGGAGAAAAUGAGCAGGAGUGGUCAAUGGGGUGAUCACGUUACAUUGCAGGCCGCUGCAGAUUUGUAUGGUAUCAAGAUAUUUAUGAUAACUUCAUUCAAGGAUACAUGUUGCAUCGAGAUCCUUCCAAAAGUGCUAAAGUCCAACAAUGGAGUUAUUUACUUGAGCUUUUGGGCGGAGGUGCACUACAAUCCUGUUCGUCGCAUGAGAAACAUCUGGCAGGAGUAUAAAAGAAAAAAAAAACAUUAAGCUCAUGAUUUUUCUCUUAGAAAAAUCAGAAACUGCUUGGGACCUGCGCAUGGGUGCAAAAGAAAUUGAUUCUGGGAUAAGCCAAAUAGCCCUGCUAAAUGCAACUAUUAUGGCCUUCUCUAGACUAGUUUACGAGAUGAAGUAGUUCCAAUCCCAUUUAAAGCAAUGCCAUGCCAAUGACAAUAAUUCAUGAACAUACAGGAAAGACUCGUGCAAUUUCUCUAAACUUACCAGAAUAUGGCAUGUGUAGGCAAUUUGACGCCUGGCUCAACUGUGAACUUAGCCCAUAGUAUUGUAGCUGAGCUCAAUUAUAGCCAUUAUAUGAUAUCCUAGGCAUGGUCUAAAAGACUCAACAACUCAAUCCGAAUCUCAUGACCGGGUUAUUUGAAUUAAUUCGGAUAAUCUUUUUAAAACCCUAGUAAUA